GGUCACGUGAUGGAGUUGGUCACCAUACCUGUCUAACAGUUUUCUAACUGGUUCACAGGAGGUCGGCAGUUCGAUCCUGCCCGGGAUCA
This 89-nucleotide transfer RNA is filed under the name Kwoniella heveanensis BCC8398. RNAcentral describes it as "tRNA-Val". Lineage: Eukaryota; Fungi; Basidiomycota; Tremellomycetes; Tremellales; Cryptococcaceae. The record is from RNAcentral.